UUUACAUGAAUGCGGUGACUUGUCGGUAACGAGCAGAUGGUCAUGACAGGCUUCGAUAUUCUAUAAAACUAGAAACUAUCUAGACAGUACUUCAACAGAAAGCUGGAUAGAGACAAUUCGUCACAUCAAGCUACGAGAAAGCAUAUCAUCAUUUCAACGAAUCAUACUCGGACACUGCAUCAAAAUCAGACUUUGAAAAUGGCGUCAAAAACCAUGAUUGCUCUCUACUUUCUGAUUGUCUUGGCUGUGGCAGCAAGUGUUUUAGUUGAGGAAGAUGCGAUCGACAAUUCCGAUGCCUUGGAUGUCGAGGAGAACGGCGACAAAAGAAGAAAGAACAAACCAAUAGUUGUAUGUGAAUAUUAUGGUCAAUCGUGUACCUGCCGGGGAAAGAGAGUACUAACGUGUGAUGGGCGGUAGCAACAGUAGCACUGAGAAGUUCGGGAAGCAGGCUAGCUGGAUAUUCUCCAUGUGGUCAGACGACUUCUCCGUUUGUUGAGACUUUUGUGAAAUAAAUGCAAAAAAACCCCAUAAGUGAUCAGUCAUCACUGACCUUAACCCUAACCCUAACGAAUUUAUAACCCUGCCUUAAAAAGAAAAAUUGAAAUACGUAUAUAUAUAUAUAUAUAUAUACAAUUCGAAUCUCGGUUCAAAGUAAAGUAACAAUUUGCCUACAUGUAACCAAAGGUAGUUUUUGCGUUGACAACAGGUUAGCCAAUUCAAUGGAAAAUUUGAUUCUUUGAUUUAAUGCAUUGAAGAGUUGGAUCUUGUACAUAUGCUUCAACGUAGAGGAACCGUGCAAAGAAAACCAUUAAGGUGUAUACAUUAAUAUAAAUCAAUGACUUAAUUAAACGUAAUGUUCUGAUUUAUUUUCAAAUGUCUAAUCAGCUGCUUUAUUCUCUGACACAUUAUGCACAAAACGGUCUCAUUAAACGGAAUGACGUAAUAAUUCCUUCUUGUGUUAUUUAUUUGUGUUCAUGUCGUGAGAGGGGUAAU
Long non-coding RNA from Strongylocentrotus purpuratus (purple sea urchin), 993 nucleotides. RefSeq lists it as uncharacterized. Lineage: Eukaryota; Metazoa; Echinodermata; Echinoidea; Camarodonta; Strongylocentrotidae. The record is from RefSeq and is a predicted model, not a curated record. The transcript is spliced from 4 exons.